This 489-nucleotide ribosomal RNA is filed under the name uncultured bacterium. RNAcentral describes it as "partial 16S ribosomal RNA". It matches the Rfam family "Bacterial small subunit ribosomal RNA", at positions 29 to 505 of the family's 1533-position model. The record is from RNAcentral.
AGUGAACGCUGGCGGUAGGCCUAACACAUGCAAGUCGAACGGCAGCACAGUAAGAGCUUGCUCUUACGGGUGGCGAGUGGCGGACGGGUGAGGAAUACAUCGGAAUCUACUUUUUCGUGGGGGAUAACGUAGGGAAACUUACGCUAAUACCGCAUACGACCUACGGGUGAAAGCAGGGGAUCUUCGGACCUUGCGCGAUUGAAUGAGCCGAUGUGGAUUAGCUAGUUGGCGGGGUAAAGGCCCACCAAGGCGACGAUCCGUAGCUGGUCUGAGAGGAUGAUCAGCCACACUGGAACUGAGACACGGUCCAGACUCCUACGGGAGGCAGCAGUGGGGAAUAUUGGACAAUGGGCGCAAGCCUGAUCCAGCCAUACCGCGUGGGUGAAGAAGGCCUUCGGGUUGUAAAGCCCUUUUGUUGGGAAAGAAAAGCAGCAGGUUAAUACCCCGCUGUUCUGACGGUACCCAAAGAAUAAGCACCGGCUAACUUCG